CCUACGGGCGGCAGCAGUGAGGAAUAUUGGUCAAUGGGCGGGAGCCUGAACCAGCCAAGUCGCGUGAGGGAAGACGGUCCUAUGAGUUGUAAACCGCUUUUGUCGAGGAGCAAUGCCGAACACGCGUGCCCUGCUGUAGGGUACCCGCAGACUAAGCAUCGGCUACCUCGUGCCCAGAAGCCGCGGUAAUCGGGAGGAUGCAGGGGUUCUCCGGUUUAUUGGGGUUAAAGGGGGUGGUGGGCGGAUGUUUAAUUCAGGGGUAAAUGUUCGGGGCUCAAUCCGGGCCGGCCGUUGAAACUGGUGAUCUUGAGUGGGCGAGCAGUAUGCGGAAUGCGUGGUGUAGCGGUGAAAUGCAUAGAGAUCAUGCAGAACUCCGAUUGCGAAGGCAGCAUACCGGAGUCUGUCUGACGCUGAGGCACGAAAGCGUGGGGAGCGAACAGGAUUAGAUACCCGUGUAGUC
RNAcentral lists this ribosomal RNA (460 nucleotides) under uncultured bacterium. RNAcentral's name for it is "partial 16S ribosomal RNA". It matches the Rfam family "Bacterial small subunit ribosomal RNA", at positions 338 to 795 of the family's 1533-position model. The record is from RNAcentral.